This 773-nucleotide ribosomal RNA is filed under the name uncultured Neocallimastigales. RNAcentral's name for it is "partial large subunit ribosomal RNA". It matches the Rfam family "Eukaryotic large subunit ribosomal RNA", at positions 22 to 639 of the family's 3401-position model. The record is from RNAcentral. Lineage: Eukaryota; Fungi; Neocallimastigomycota; Neocallimastigomycetes; Neocallimastigales.
GUACACGCUGUGACUAGCAUAUCAAUAAGCGGAGGAAAAGAAACUAACAAGGAUUCCCCUAGUAACGGCGAGUGAAGCGGGAAGAGCUCAAAUUUGAAAUCUUAAAGGGUUUCCCUUUACGAAUUGUAGUUUAAAGAAGUGUUUUCUGUUGAGGUUUUGGUAAAAGUUCUUUGGAAUAGGACAUCAUAGAGGGUGAGAAUCCCGUAUUUGACCUUUACUUUCAACUUUGUGAUACACUUUCAAAGAGUCGGAUUGUUUGGGAAUGCAGUCCAAAAUGGGUGGUAAAUUUCAUCUAAAGCUAAAUAUUGGCGAGAGACCGAUAGCGAACAAGUACCGUGAGGGAAAGAUGAAAAGAACUUUGAAAAGAGAGUUAAACAGUACGUGAAAUUGUCAAAAGGGAAGCGUUUGACACCAGUGUUGUUUUUCUGAAAAUCAAUUAAAGAACUGUUUAUGCUAAGUUGUUUAGACUUUAUCAGCUACUGUUUAGUUUUGAGCUUUUCUUUAAUGCACUUUUCAGUUAACAAGUCAACAUCAAUUUCUUUUGCUGUAAAAAAGCUUGAGGAAGGUGGCUUGAGAUUCGUCUUAAGUGUUUAUAGCCUCUUGCCUAUGCAGUCGGAGAGAUUGAGGUCUGCAGCGUAGAUCCUUCGGGGCUAAAUGCAUUUGUGCUAAGUUAUAGCAUUUUAUAGACAACUUGUUGACUAUGAUUUGUCUUGUAGCUUACUCGCUUAUGCUAUUUUACCUACGCUUAGGAUGUUGACGCGCGUGUGUGCGUG